GACCCAUUAGCUCAGUUGGCAGAGCACCUGACUUUUAAUCAGGGAGUCCGGCGUUCGAGUCGCCGAUGGGUCACCA
This 76-nucleotide transfer RNA is filed under the name Clostridium cochlearium. Its description in RNAcentral is "tRNA-Lys". It matches the Rfam family "tRNA". Rfam says of the family: Transfer RNA (tRNA) molecules are approximately 80 nucleotides in length. Lineage: Bacteria; Bacillati; Bacillota; Clostridia; Eubacteriales; Clostridiaceae. RNAcentral also lists the same sequence under 2 other names. The record is from RNAcentral.